RNAcentral lists this ribosomal RNA (441 nucleotides) under uncultured bacterium. RNAcentral's name for it is "partial 16S ribosomal RNA". It matches the Rfam family "Bacterial small subunit ribosomal RNA", at positions 338 to 795 of the family's 1533-position model. The record is from RNAcentral.
CCUACGGGUGGCAGCAGUGGGGAAUAUUGCUCAAUGGGGGCAACCCUGACGCAGCAACGCCGCGUGAUUGAAGAAGGCCUUCGGGUUGUAAAGCUCUUUAAUCAGGGACGAAAAAUGCCGGUACCUGAAGAAUAAGCUCCGGCUAACUACGUGCCAGCAGCCGCGGUAAUACGUAGGGAGCAAGCGUUAUCCGGAUUUACUGGGUGUAAAGGGCGUGUAGGCGGGUCUGUAAGUCAGAAGUGAAAUCUGGGGGCUUAACCCCCAAACUGCUUUUGAAACUGCGGGUCUUGAGUGAUGGGGGGGCAGGCGGAAUUCCUAGUGUAGCGGUGAAAUGCGUAGAUAUUGGGAGGAACACCAGUGGCGAAGGCAGCCUGCUGGACAUUAACUGACGCUGAGGCGCGAAAGCGUGGGGAGCAAACAGGAUUAGAUACCCUGGUAGUC